RNAcentral lists this transfer RNA (73 nucleotides) under Apaloderma vittatum (bar-tailed trogon). It matches the Rfam family "tRNA". From Rfam's summary of the family: Transfer RNA (tRNA) molecules are approximately 80 nucleotides in length. Their secondary structure includes four short double-helical elements and three loops (D, anti-codon, and T loops). The record is from Rfam by way of RNAcentral. Lineage: Eukaryota; Metazoa; Chordata; Aves; Trogoniformes; Trogonidae.
GGCCAGUUAGCUCAGUCAGUUGAGCAUGGCGCUAACAGCGCUAGGGUCGUGGGUUUGAUUCCCGUUCGGUCUC